Molecule: small nuclear RNA, 103 nt
Organism: Arvicanthis niloticus (Nile rat)
Lineage: Eukaryota; Metazoa; Chordata; Mammalia; Rodentia; Muridae
Source: RefSeq, a predicted model, not a curated record
GUUCGCUUCGGCAGCACAUACACUAAAAUUGGACUGAUUACAGAGGUUAGCGUGGCCCCUGCACAAGGAUGUCACGCAAAUUCGUGAAGCGUUCCAUAUUUUU